CCCAGUUCUCCAGGGAGCACAUUCCCUGGGGUUGGCCCGCAGGACUGAGCUUCUCUGUCCACAUUUUCUCUUGGAUUCGUGCACCACCUUGGCUGUACUGAGCAGCAGUGGUGUCAGCAACCAGGCUUGAAGGCCACGGGCUCUGACCCCAAUGCCCAAUGCUCCAUGGGGACUCUCUGGGGUCUCCUGCCCCUCAGGCUCCAAUGCUGGCCCCAGCCUCACUCUGCCAGGGCCGUGGAUCCUGCCCUCACAGCCCUGGGAGGGGAGGACCAGUGCCCAGGCAAAGCUCCAUGCCUGCCUCACACAGGCUCACAGGGGAGGGAGGAAAAGUCUCCCUCGUGAGUAGCCAGGGCCAAAGUCUAAUGAGGGUCCUUAACAUGUAAAAGAUGUAGCUUGACCUCAGUCAGCUUUAACCCUGUCUUUCCAUUACCUCAUAAAGUAGCAUGGAACUCUUGACAAAAGUAGCAAAGCUCUGAGGAGACGUGCGCUUACUGGUUUUCUAGCAUAUUCCAAAGUUCUCUCUGCCUCCAGGUGUGUUGCUGCUGCUGGGCUGCAGUAUCUGUUGAGAGAGUUUAUGAAGAAACCAGCCAACAUCCUGGAGAUCCUCAGGCCACCUCAAGUACUGCUGUUUCUGUACAAAGCCUCUAAUGGAUUGAUGUUUCAUCAACUGGUACUGGGACAAGGACCCAACCACCACCAUGAUGAGAGCACUGUUAAGGCAAGGUUCAGAACCUGCAAAUCCUGGAGUGUCUCAAAGACUCGGGAGUUCAGGGAGAAGAUAAACCCAUGUGAAAGGUCCAGGUGUCUCACUGAACUUCUGGCCAGGCCAGCAAAUGUGUUCUGGUCAGGAUCUUUGAUGUUAUGGAAGCCAAACCCGGCACCCAUGAUGUGGUGGGCAAGAAUCAAAGAGAAGGCCUGGCUUUUGCUGAUGGCAUUGCUAAAGUUUCCUGUGAUAUCCACUGUCCAGCCAUUUCCAGAAACAUCUAGUGUCUCCAGCACCAUGCUUCUGAACGGGUUCAUACAUUUUCCCCAGUCCACUGAGACUCUGCUAUACAAGUUAUUAGCUGCGAGGCUGAAAAAGGAGAGCAUUUUCCCUUGGAGGGGCUCGAGCUCAUGUUCACAUACAAGAAAUAUUUGGUUGGAGGAAAAAUCUAUGGACUUCAAGGAAUUCAGCUUCCCAAAUGAAGGAUGA
RNAcentral lists this long non-coding RNA (1192 nucleotides) under Macaca nemestrina (pig-tailed macaque). RNAcentral describes it as "lncRNA (ENSMNEG00000046038.1)". The record is from RNAcentral. Lineage: Eukaryota; Metazoa; Chordata; Mammalia; Primates; Cercopithecidae.